AUCCAGCUGGUGAGUCCCAAAUAGGACGAUACGUGCGUCCUGGAU
RNAcentral lists this non-coding RNA (45 nucleotides) under Schistosoma mansoni. The record is from RNAcentral. Lineage: Eukaryota; Metazoa; Platyhelminthes; Trematoda; Strigeidida; Schistosomatidae.